This 867-nucleotide long non-coding RNA is filed under the name Medicago truncatula (barrel medic). RNAcentral describes it as "long non-coding RNA (MTRU_LNC004090)". The record is from RNAcentral. Lineage: Eukaryota; Viridiplantae; Streptophyta; Magnoliopsida; Fabales; Fabaceae.
ACACAGAAAGCACACAAAUUAAAAACUAUAGAGUUAAUGGUGUUUUACCCCCCUGUAAUAUAGGUUAUUUUUUGUUUUUUCCUCUGUAAAAUAUUUUUUUUGAUUUAGCUCCUGUAAAAUUUUUUUUUUUUGGAAUACCCCCUAAUAGGUUAUAAAAAAACGACUUUAUUUUUUUUUUGGCAGAAUUUUUUGUUUUUUUAUGACCUAUUAAGGGAGUAUUCCAAAAAAAAAAAAUUUACAGGGGAUAAAUAAAAAAAAAAUAUUUUACAAGAGAGAAAACCAAAAUUGCCCUAUAUUACAGGGGGUAAAUCACCAUUAACCCAAAACUAUAUAUGAACACUAAAAUGAGCUAACAAACAAUCUAACACGUGGAAAACACUCAAAGAGUUCUAUAUGAUACAGGUUGGAGCUUAAUGACUAGACGAUGUUGUAGUGGACUUUGAGACAUGAGUGGGUGCAGUGAAUGAUGAAUGUAGUUGAUAUGGAUAAUUAUCGUAGUGGAUGUGGAUGAUGAUAAAUGUAGUAGUUUGUUAAUCAUAUACAAAUGAGGUUGAUCUUAAAACUAAUAUUUGUUAGGGAGUGAUUUUGUUGAUGGAUCCUUGGAGCUUGAUUCAAAUGAAGUGUUCUUGACUGUUGUUUCAUAUGGUAUUCUUUAGUGUUGAUCCUGACAAAGUAUCUUGGUUCAAAACAAACUAUCUUAAACUUUGAUCCAAACCCAACAUCUUGAACUUUGACUCAGGUUGUAUGCUUUGUUUAGAAAAGGUGUCAAGACAUCUCAUGGAAGUUAUCAAAGUUUGAGGAUUAAUUACAAUGAAGAUUUGUAGACAAAACAGCUGAGAAAUUUUUUAUCACAAGUCUUAAAUCAUA